Long non-coding RNA from Mauremys mutica (yellowpond turtle), 481 nucleotides. RefSeq lists it as uncharacterized. Lineage: Eukaryota; Metazoa; Chordata; Testudines; Geoemydidae. The transcript has 3 exons. The record is from RefSeq and is a predicted model, not a curated record.
AGGUGGAGGUACCCACUCCUUUACAACCUGAAGCCUAGUGAUUAAGAUACUCACAUGGGAUGUGAAAGAUCCACUUUAAUUUCUUUUUAGGCCUGUUGAGAUAAAGGGAUUUGGACAAGGAUCUCCUCAGGUUCUUCCUCCCAUGAAAAUCUGGUAGUUACUCCUUUAAAUCUGGGGAGAGAAUCAGCUGACACCCACAGCGCUAGAAGGCUAUGCCAUUCAUUCUUCCUUCUAUCUGUGUAGACACAUCUUCAGAGGGGACAGGGCCAACUACUGACAAAUUCUCCACCCAUCACCAAGCCAGGGUGUGAAAAUAGAAGGAAGCCAACAUCAACUACUGUGAAGUGAACUGCCCUGCUGAAGCUGGAUGAUCUUGGGGUGGACAAAAUUUGGGAGAGUGCCUGAAAUCUUGGCUCCUGCAGGAACCAAUUUGUGCAGGGGAUGACUGGAAGCCUGGGGAGACCUGGUCAGCAGUGUGAAA